GAUCUCGUAGCUCAGUUGGCCAGAGCGCUGGUUGUACUAAAGCCUUCCGCUUGCUGCCGUGGUUUCGAAUCCCACCGAGGCCA
This 83-nucleotide transfer RNA is filed under the name Schistocephalus solidus. It matches the Rfam family "tRNA". Rfam says of the family: Transfer RNA (tRNA) molecules are approximately 80 nucleotides in length. Lineage: Eukaryota; Metazoa; Platyhelminthes; Cestoda; Diphyllobothriidea; Diphyllobothriidae. The record is from Rfam by way of RNAcentral.